Molecule: long non-coding RNA, 232 nt
Filed under: Ananas comosus (pineapple)
Lineage: Eukaryota; Viridiplantae; Streptophyta; Magnoliopsida; Poales; Bromeliaceae
Description: long non-coding RNA (ACOM_LNC002694)
Source: RNAcentral
AAAUAAUUUUUCAAUAAAGAAGGUUUUGUAUUUUUUUAAAUAUUUUGAGAGAGAAUGGUAGCAUCUUAUCCGUUUUAAUAUUUAUUUUUUAAAAAAAUAAAUUUAACUGAAAUUAUGAAAUAACUAUAUUUCAAAUUUGAAAUCUCGAAUACUAAUUAUUAAAUCUUUUGUCAUUUAUGCUAGGAACAGUCGAUGGGUACAAGGAAAAUAUUGUGUGUGCUAAAGAGUGGGG